RNAcentral lists this ribosomal RNA (483 nucleotides) under uncultured bacterium. Its description in RNAcentral is "partial 16S ribosomal RNA". It matches the Rfam family "Bacterial small subunit ribosomal RNA", at positions 28 to 523 of the family's 1533-position model. The record is from RNAcentral.
GAUGAACGCUGGCGGCGUGCCUAAUACAUGCAAGUCGAGCGAACCACUUCGGUGGUGAGCGGCGAACGGGUGAGUAACACGUAGGUGAUCUGCCCAUCAGACGGGGACAACGAUUGGAAACGAUCGCUAAUACCGGAUAGGACGAAAGUUUAAAGGUGCUUCUGGCACCGCUGAUGGAUGAGCCUGCGGCGCAUUAGCUAGUUGGUAGGGUAAAGGCCUACCAAGGCGACGAUGCGUAGCCGACCUGAGAGGGUGAACGGCCACACUGGGACUGAGACACGGCCCAGACUCCUACGGGAGGCAGCAGUAGGGAAUCUUCGGCAAUGGGCGAAAGCCUGACCGAGCAACGCCGCGUGAAUGAUGAAGGCCUUCGGGUUGUAAAAUUCUGUUAUAAGGGAAGAACGACUUUAGUAGGAAAUGGCUAGAGUGUGACGGUACCUUAUGAGAAAGCCACGGCUAACUACGUGCCAGCAGCCGCCGCAG